This 72-nucleotide transfer RNA is filed under the name Marmota monax (woodchuck). It matches the Rfam family "tRNA". From Rfam's summary of the family: Transfer RNA (tRNA) molecules are approximately 80 nucleotides in length. Their secondary structure includes four short double-helical elements and three loops (D, anti-codon, and T loops). The record is from Rfam by way of RNAcentral. Lineage: Eukaryota; Metazoa; Chordata; Mammalia; Rodentia; Sciuridae.
GGGGAUAUGGCUCAGUUGGCAGAGUGCUUGCCCGGAGUGCACAGGCCCUGGGUUCAAUUCCCAGUACCACCA